This 48-nucleotide non-coding RNA is filed under the name Schistosoma mansoni. RNAcentral also lists the same sequence under 1 other name. The record is from RNAcentral. Lineage: Eukaryota; Metazoa; Platyhelminthes; Trematoda; Strigeidida; Schistosomatidae.
AUCCAUCUGACGAGUCCCAAAUAGGACGAAACGCGAGUCAAACUGGAU